UAGGCUGGUGCGGGAUGUACGUACACGUUUCGUCUGAAGUGUGGGGACAGGACACGGCCUCCGUCACCUCGGACGGCUGGCGAUUUUGACGGCCGCCGCGGAUCUUCAUCUGAGCCGUGGCUCAGUCGUCAUCCGGGGAAAUUGGUCCGUGGAUCAGGAAAAGCGCUUUUCCGGCAGGGGUUGGUGCACGAUAUUAAUUGUACCCUCCUCGUCGGUGGCGCACAGGGUGUGAAGUCCUGUUUUGAGGAGACGAUUGCGUUCGGGGAGGUAAACUCCAUUGCCGGCGACGGAGUUCCUGAUGCAGCCAAUAAGCAGGUUUCCCUUUUGAUUGAAGGAUCCAGAUUCCCCUUUUGAUUGAGGAGGUGGACGAGAGUGUUGGUUGAUGUGGGCCGGGAAACCGUCCGCCCGUCCGAGUAGAGCCGUGGCUUACUCCGGAGCUCGGCUCGGACAGCCAGAUCGCGGCCCAAGCGGUGGUGGUAGUGGAAAAGGGAAGGUUCACCUGAAGCGCCAGAGCUCUCCACAGGCAAGAUGAACCCUCAAGCUCUCGAAUGGAUUAAAAGACCGUAGCGACGAAGAGGCGGAGGAUGAUAGCUUUAAGCAUGUAAGCCUUUAGUAAUGUGACUUGUGGAUUUUUGUUUUCCUUCUAUAUAUUACUUGUUAUUUAUGGACUCCAUAGAUCCAAUUGCCAUUGGCUUAUAUAAUUCAGGAGAUAAAGGGUGAAGCGCGACGCAUUCGAGCAAUCGAUUGAUCAGAUCUCUCGAUCCAAAAGCUCCUAGAUAGACGCACAUGUAAUCACUUAAUCACUAAAUUAAUCACUGAAUUUUUAAUACUCUGUUACUGCAUACCGCGGGAUAGUAUGAACUGCUGGAGCUGUGUGCAGGCGUUGUGGAGUUUUACUGUCAGGGCAGUCUGCUGUGUGCUGAAUUCUGCGUGAUAUGCUGAACCUUAUAUAUGAAAUGGACACUGAUUAAUUUUGCUUAUGCAACGGUCCUUAGAAUAGAAUGCUACACGCAACGCAUCGCUGACGAGGGUAAGCAUGUAGCAGGUCACGCACGCAAGCUAUGUCCACCCGAUUCGAAUUUCGAAUGGUAACAGCGUGAGAAGCUGAGGCUGUUUUACAUAAUCAGCAGCAUGGUCACUGCCGAACGGUGAGUCUAUUGAUCCAUUGCUUCGUGUAGUUAGGGUGAAACUAGAAGGCAGGAGCUGGGCAGAGCAGGAUAUGGCUUCUUCCAUGUGUGUCUGGCACCGGAUCGGCCAUUACGUGGUCGGAUGCAACUUCCAAGUACGAUGUAGUAUCUG
This is a long non-coding RNA of Triticum aestivum (bread wheat), 1299 nucleotides long. RefSeq lists it as uncharacterized. Lineage: Eukaryota; Viridiplantae; Streptophyta; Magnoliopsida; Poales; Poaceae. The record is from RefSeq and is a predicted model, not a curated record. The transcript has 3 exons.